RNAcentral lists this ribosomal RNA (492 nucleotides) under uncultured bacterium. RNAcentral's name for it is "partial 16S ribosomal RNA". It matches the Rfam family "Bacterial small subunit ribosomal RNA", at positions 29 to 507 of the family's 1533-position model. The record is from RNAcentral.
AGUGAACGCUGGCGGUAGGCCUAACACAUGCAAGUCGAACGGCAGCACAGUAAGAGCUUGCUCUUACGGGUGGCGAGUGGCGGACGGGUGAGGAAUACAUCGGAAUCUACUUUUUCGUGGGGGAUAACGUAGGGAAACUUACGCUAAUACCGCAUACGACCUACGGGUGAAAGCAGGGGAUCUUCGGACCUUGUGCGAUUGAAUGAGCCGAUGUCGGAUUAGCCAGUUGGCGGGGUAAAGGCCCACCAAGGCGACGAUCCGUAGCUGGUCUGAGAGGAUGAUCAGCCACACUGGAACUGAGACACGGUCCAGACUCCUACGGGAGGCAGCAGUGGGGAAUAUUGGACAAUGGGCGCAAGCCUGAUCCAGCCAUACCGCGUGGGUGAAGAAGGCCUUCGGGUUGUAAAGCCCUUUUGUUGGGAAAGAAAAGCAGCAGGUUAAUACCCCGCUGUUCUGACGGUACCCAAAGAAUAAGCACCGGCUAACUUCGUG